CUCUGUACAGAAAUAUUUACUUUGUAAGACAAAAAACUCAAGAUCACAGUACACAGCAGUUAUUUAUUUAAAUAUGUGAAAAGGUCAAUGAUGGAAAAAAUAGGUUUAUAAUGAGAUUAUAAUCAUUAUUUAUUUUAUCAUUUAAAAAAGUGCUGCCUUUAGGUUAUCCUAGCCAGAUAUAGAACACUUCAUGACACAUGCAGCUACUGUAAUACACUAUAAUAGACAGAGCCAUUAUAGAAUGAUUCACACUUUGGGAGGAGAUUUAACAGUAGUAAGGGUGACUGUUUAUUUAAACUAAAAACAUUGAUAAUAUACAAAUUGUUUUUCUCAUUUGAUUGAAAGGACUAUAAAAUUGAACAUACUGACAGACAAAGCAACAUAA
Galeopterus variegatus (Sunda flying lemur) is the source of this 385-nucleotide long non-coding RNA. RefSeq lists it as uncharacterized. The transcript has 2 exons. Lineage: Eukaryota; Metazoa; Chordata; Mammalia; Dermoptera; Cynocephalidae. The record is from RefSeq and is a predicted model, not a curated record.